Molecule: ribosomal RNA, 324 nt
Filed under: uncultured eukaryote
Lineage: Eukaryota
Description: partial 18S ribosomal RNA
Rfam family: Eukaryotic small subunit ribosomal RNA
Source: RNAcentral
CCCUUAGAUGUUCUGGGCUGCACGCGCGCUACACUGAAGCUAUCAACACGUUUUCCCUCCCUGAGAAGGGCGGGUAACCUUUUGAAUCAGCUUCGUGGUAGGGAUCGAGGCUUGCAAUUGUUCCCCGUGAACCAGGAAUUCCUAGUAGACGCGAGUCAUAAGCUCGCAUCGAUUAAGUCCCUGCCCUUUGUACACACCGCCCGUCGCUACUACCGAUUGAACGUUUUAGUGAGGCAUUUGGACCGACGCAUCUCAGUUUAACCGCUGGUUUGUGUUGGAAAGACUUCCAAACUUGAGCGUUUAGAGGAAGUAAAAGUCGUAACA